Small nucleolar RNA from Capsella rubella, 107 nucleotides. It matches the Rfam family "Plant small nucleolar RNA R71". From Rfam's summary of the family: R71 is a member of the C/D box family of snoRNAs containing the C (UGAUGA) and D (CUGA) box motifs. Multiple nearly identical copies of this snoRNA have been identified in Arabidopsis, and it is thought to function as a 2'-O-ribose methylation guide for 18S ribosomal RNA. NCBI's taxonomy places the organism in Eukaryota, Viridiplantae, Streptophyta, Magnoliopsida, Brassicales, Brassicaceae. The record is from Rfam.
UAUCCAUGGUGGGGACAAUCUCUCUGAUACCCCUUAAAACGUACCCAAGCAGCCUUGAAUGUCUCAGAGAUUCCUUGAGAGAAAGUAGAAAUCUUGUUCCUCAGAUC